This 225-nucleotide long non-coding RNA is filed under the name Elaeis guineensis (African oil palm). RNAcentral describes it as "long non-coding RNA (EGUI_LNC018329)". The record is from RNAcentral. Lineage: Eukaryota; Viridiplantae; Streptophyta; Magnoliopsida; Arecales; Arecaceae.
GGCCUCAUUUUUUAGCUAAGUUAGACCCACCAAUAAGCAUGAGUGAAGCCAUUAUUGAACCCUCACCUGACAGAUUUUGGGCCCAAUCCCAUCUCCACCCGACUAUAAAUAGAGUGGUUGCUUCUCUCCUGAUACAAUAGAAUCACUAUAUCCAACUGAGAACAGUCAAUGUCAGAGAGGGUGCAGCACUCUACAAUGAUGGAAGAUCCCUCGAUUUAAUAUUAU